RNAcentral lists this ribosomal RNA (253 nucleotides) under uncultured bacterium. RNAcentral describes it as "partial 16S ribosomal RNA". It matches the Rfam family "Bacterial small subunit ribosomal RNA", at positions 524 to 776 of the family's 1533-position model. The record is from RNAcentral.
UACGGAGGGUGCAAGCGUUAGCCGGAUUCACUGGGUUUAAAGGGUGCGUAGGUGGGUUGGUAAGUCAGUGGUGAAAUCCCCGAGCUUAACUUGGGAACUGCCAUUGAUACUAUCAGUCUUGAAUAUUGUGGAGGUUAGCGGAAUAUGUCAUGUAGCGGUGAAAUGCUUAGAUAUGACAUAGAACACCAAUUGCGAAGGCAGCUGGCUACGCAUAUAUUGACACUGAGGCACGAAAGCGUGGGGAUCAAACAGG